Molecule: ribosomal RNA, 490 nt
Filed under: uncultured bacterium
Lineage: Bacteria
Description: partial 16S ribosomal RNA
Rfam family: Bacterial small subunit ribosomal RNA
Source: RNAcentral
AGUGAACGCUGGCGGCAGGCCUAACACAUGCAAGUCGAACGGCAGCACAAGAGAGCUUGCUCUCUGGGUGGCGAGUGGCGGACGGGUGAGGAAUGCAUCGGAAUCUGCCCAUUUGUGGGGGAUAACCUCGGGAAACCGGGACUAAUACCGCAUACGACCUACGGGUGAAAGCAGGGGAUCUUCGGACCUCGCGCAGAUGGAUGAGCCGAUGCCGGAUUAGCUAGUUGGAGGGGUAAAGGCUCACCAAGGCGACGAUCCGUAGCUGGUCUGAGAGGAUGAUCAGCCACACUGGGACUGAGACACGGCCCAGACUCCUACGGGAGGCAGCAGUGGGGAAUAUUGGACAAUGGGCGCAAGCCUGAUCCAGCCAUGCCGCGUGUGUGAAGAAGGCCUUCGGGUUGUAAAGCACUUUUGUUGGGAAAGAAAAGCAGCCGGUUAAUACCCGGUUGUCAUGACGGUACCCAAAGAAUAAGCACCGGCUAACUUCGUG